Molecule: ribosomal RNA, 482 nt
Filed under: uncultured bacterium
Lineage: Bacteria
Description: partial 16S ribosomal RNA
Rfam family: Bacterial small subunit ribosomal RNA
Source: RNAcentral
AUUGAACGCUGGCGGCAUGCUUUACACAUGCAAGUCGAACGGUAACAGGCCGCAAGGUGCUGACGAGUGGCGAACGGGUGCGUAAUGCAUCGGAACGUGCCCAGUCGUGGGGGAUAACUACUCGAAAGAGUAGCUAAUACCGCAUACGAUCUAUGGAUGAAAGCGGGGGACCGUAAGGCCUCGCGCGAUUGGAGCGGCCGAUGUCAGAUUAGGUAGUUGGUGGGGUAAAGGCUCACCAAGCCAACGAUCUGUAGCUGGUCUGAGAGUACGACCAGCCACACUGGGACUGAGACACGGCCCAGACUCCUACGGGAGGCAGCAGUGGGGAAUUUUGGACAAUGGGCGCAAGCCUGAUCCAGCAAUGCCGCGUGCAGGAAGAAGGCCUUCGGGUUGUAAACUGCUUUUGUACGGAACGAAACGGCUCUGGUUAAUACCCGGGGCUAAUGACGGUACCGGAAGAAUAAGCACCGGCUAACUACGUG